This 427-nucleotide ribosomal RNA is filed under the name uncultured Acidobacteriota bacterium. RNAcentral describes it as "bacterial SSU rRNA". It matches the Rfam family "Bacterial small subunit ribosomal RNA", at positions 958 to 1385 of the family's 1533-position model. Lineage: Bacteria; Pseudomonadati; Acidobacteriota. The record is from RNAcentral.
AACGCGAAGAACCUUACCUGGGCUUGAACCGCACAGGACCAGCUUUAGAAAUAGAGCCUUCCCGCAAGGGACCUGUGUAGAGGUGCUGCAUGGCUGUCGUCAGCUCGUGCCGUGAGGUGUUGGGUUAAGUCCCGCAACGAGCGCAACCCUUACUCCUAGUUGCUACCCGCAAGGGAGAACUCUAGGAGGACUGCUCCGGAUAACGGAGAGGAAGGUGGGGAUGAGGUCAAGUCAGCAUGGCCUUUAUGUCCAGGGCUACACACGUGUUACAAUGCGCGCUACAAAGUGUCGCGAACCCGCGAGGGGGAGCUAAUCGCAAAAAAGCGCGCUCAGUUCGGAUUGCAGUCUGCAACUCGACUGCAUGAAGCCGGAAUCGCUAGUAAUGGCGCAUCAGAUCGGCGCCGUGAAUACGUUCCCGGGCCUUGUA